UGGGGAAUAUUGCACAAUGGGCGCAAGCCUGAUGCAGCCAUGCCGCGUGUGUGAAGAAGGCCUUCGGGUUGUAAAGCACUUUCAGCGAGGAGGAAGGUGGUGAGCUUAAUACGCUCAUCAAUUGACGUUACUCGCAGAAGAAGCACCGGCUAACUCCGUGCCAGCAGCCGCGGUAAUACGGAGGGUGCAAGCGUUAAUCGGAAUUACUGGGCGUAAAGCGCACGCAGGCGGUUUGUUAAGUCAGAUGUGAAAUCCCCGGGCUCAACCUGGGAACUGCAUUUGAAACUGGCAAGCUAGAGUCUCGUAGAGGGGGGUAGAAUUCCAGGUGUAGCGGUGAAAUGCGUAGAGAUCUGGAGGAAUACCGGUGGCGAAGGCGGCCCCCUGGACGAAGACUGACGCUCAGGUGCGAAAGCGUGGGGAGCAAACA
Molecule: ribosomal RNA, 427 nt
Filed under: uncultured bacterium
Lineage: Bacteria
Also listed under: 1 other name
Description: partial 16S ribosomal RNA
Rfam family: Bacterial small subunit ribosomal RNA
Source: RNAcentral